GGGGGUGAAAUUGGCUUCGACGGGAUUAAAGAGACACUAAACUGCACUUCGUGUUUCCUGCAGACACGUUAAACGGCGGGAAAAAACUUUAAUUGGCGAAUACGAUUACGCUCUAGCUGCGUAAUAUAACGCAGCCGUUCUCUGUUCUCUCUCAUACCGGGGAUCAGAAGAACGUCGUCAGGUAUGAUAGCCGCUCCAACCGCUCUUGUUGGUAAAGCGAAUUCCGCGUCGGCGGAUUAAUGAGCAGACUUAAAGUAAUCCGUGUUUGUUUGGCAACUUUAAGUUAAAAUUAUAACAAACUAUAUGUGUAGACGUUUUUUGGAUCUUAAUUUCGGACGCGGGUUCGACUCCCGCCACCUCCACUA
RNAcentral lists this transfer-messenger RNA (365 nucleotides) under Ignavibacteria bacterium. It matches the Rfam family "transfer-messenger RNA". From Rfam's summary of the family: Bacterial tmRNA, also known as 10Sa RNA or SsrA, is named for its dual tRNA and mRNA-like properties. Its role is to liberate the mRNA from a stalled ribosome. Lineage: Bacteria; Pseudomonadati; Ignavibacteriota; Ignavibacteria. The record is from RNAcentral.